UACCACUGGCUAGAGCUCGGCAAGACGC
This 28-nucleotide small RNA is filed under the name Bombyx mori (domestic silkworm). Its description in RNAcentral is "ovarian small RNA-20552". Lineage: Eukaryota; Metazoa; Arthropoda; Insecta; Lepidoptera; Bombycidae. The record is from RNAcentral.